UUACGGUUUCACAUUAAUUCUUUUCUAGGGUUAGUGCUCUAGGUAAAUGUCGUUGGAAUUUGGGUGAAAUUGAUGCCUUGGUGGUUAUGGAGUUUUUCUGUCAAUUUUUUCUAAACCUCUAUUGUUUCUGUCUUUCCGCUCAUUCUUCUUUCUGUAUCACAGCGUGCUUCGGUGCUUUUAAGUGCUGCAGGUUUCUUGGAUCGUCAUUUUGAUAAGGUUUUUCAAGUAGUUAGGUAUUUUUGGAAGCAUGAAAUAAAAAUUUGGGGUUUUCAGAGCAUAUGACACUUAAUUUAAAAGGCGUCUAAAGCGCCAAGGGUUUUCAGGCUCUAAUUUCAAUUGAAGAUGCUAGCGUUUGGGUGUGAAAUCUAGAAAAAACCUUAGAUAAAACCUAGAAAAAGAAGAGAAAUAAAGAAAAGAAGAAAGUGUAAAAUGCUUGAUGAAUGCCCACAUCAAUUAGCUUCUUUUGUGGAUUAGAUCAUAAGACGUUCUAAGAUGAACUCCUUAGGCGCUAUGAAGCUCUCACUUCAAGGAAAAGAUGCCCGACCCAUCGCAUGCCUGAGCCCCGUGGUGUUUGCCUUAGGCGCACUUUUGAAACUAAGAUAUAAUAAUCUAUAGGAAUGAAUUGAGAAGGAAAAUAUAUGUAGAUUAUUAUUUAUGAUGAUUUUCUUAGUAAAUGAUUAGCAAUAGAUAGGGCAAAUAAAGUAUAGUGUUCGUUAACAACAAGUUUCCACAAUGAUUUAUCUCAUAUUGUUGGCAUUAAGGCUAUUUUGUACAAAGCUGUGGCCUUGUUAGCGUGGAAGAUAAAGAGUGUUCUCCCAAUAUUGUAUUUUGAUGGUGUCGAGAAAGGCUUCUAUACGAUUUGCCUCUGUUUUCUAGUUGGAUUUACAAACAAAUUGAUGAUUUCCCACCUUUUGAUCUUGAAGUUGCACCUUUUAAUUUAUUUUCUCAAUCUUGCAUUUGAUCAUCUUCUUUUGAUCUGUUAUGAUAUGUUGAUAUGCAGCUUGCUUGGUCCCUUCAAGACUCAAGUUCUGUUGAGGAUUGGAGUUCUCUCAUUAUGUGCAGUUAUCAUGCUUGAAGAGAGCCAAAGACUUAUGUGGCUGACAGUGACAUCAUGUUAAGAGCUUUGCCUUUUCUUUUAUGGUGGGUUGUUACGACUCAAGUCCGUCCUCCUAUACGAUUUACGUAUAGUAGAGCAAAAGGAAGGACUGUCUAGAAGCUUUUAGAAAUCUUGAGCACCAUUCUGUUUUGCUGAGGUGGUACACUUUGUUAUGCAUUUCUAAAGUUUGUUAUGAGGCGUCAAGCUGUUAGUAGAUUCUCUUAUGAUGUCUAUAUAAGGAAGAGGGUGAAGAGAAUGAAAUCAUCUUUGAAUAUUGUAAUAGCUGAGUAUUCUGUACCGGAGUAAGGGGUCACUCGAAGUGCUCUAGCUACAUUGGCAACUGCCUUAAUACAAUUAACUCUUCCCCUAAUUCUCUUCUUCUUCUCUCUUAUUUUUUUCUGUUUUCUUGUGUAGUAAUUCUUGUGAAUCAUAACGUUGUCGUGUCUUAACAUCUGGUAUCAGAGCAAUCAUGGCUCCAAAUCAGAGUGCGCAUCUGGAUCUCCAUGAAAAUGAGAUUCAGCAGCUUAAGGAGUCAAUACCUGGACAAAUCGAAAUGUUGUCACAGAAUUUCGAAGAAAGAAUGAAUAUCAUGAUGGCUUGGUUUCAAAACAAGAUGGAUAUCGAGCAAGCUAGGGCUCAAGAAGCUCAAGCAAAAUUACUGGAGAAAUUACGGGGUACGAAUUCGCCAAAAAUUGCUCGGGGUGAAACAGAGGAUAUUCGAAAAAAUAAUGAAGAUCUGUUUGUUCAGGGCGAUGGAUUUGACAUUCCGAGAAGGUCAAAUUCGCAGGAAGAAAAACCGAGGCGAGGGAGAACCACCAUGUAAGGCUGAGGAGACUGGAGUUACCGGUGUUUUCUGGUGAAAGUCCGGAUGCGUGAAUCAUUAAGGCAAAGCGUUUCUUCAACUAUUAUCAGUUGACGGAAACCGAGCAGCUCGAAGCGGCAGUGAUAGGGUUGGACGGAGAUGCCAUUUUAUGGUACCAAUGGGAACAUAGGAGGCGCCCAAUCACUAGAUGGAGUGAGAUGAAGGAGUUGCUGUUGCGACAUUUUCGAGCGAGGAAGGCGGGUUCCUUAUGUGAACAACUCUUAUUGGUGGUUCAAGAAGGGUCGGUUGAGGAGUAUAGGAAGCAGUUUGUGUAAUGGCAACUCCAUUAACAGGCAUUAAAGAGGAGAUGUUGGCAGCCUUCAUAAAGGGAUUGGAUGACAAAAUCAAAACAGAGUUGCGUGUCCUUGGACCUUCGAACCUGGAGCAGGCGAUGGAGUGGACCUUAAAUAUAGAAGAAAAACUUUUAGUCCCAUGCCUAUUGGAGCCGAAAUUCCGGAUAUACCCCUAGGACUGUUAGAAUUAAUAUGGAGUCUAUUCCCAGAUUAAUGCUAAAAAACAGAUUAAUUCCCACUUUGCAUUUUUUGGGAAAUUAUUUCCCACAAUACCG
Molecule: long non-coding RNA, 2526 nt
Organism: Amaranthus tricolor (Joseph's coat)
Lineage: Eukaryota; Viridiplantae; Streptophyta; Magnoliopsida; Caryophyllales; Amaranthaceae
Exons: 3
Source: RefSeq, a predicted model, not a curated record